RNAcentral lists this ribosomal RNA (459 nucleotides) under uncultured bacterium. RNAcentral describes it as "partial 16S ribosomal RNA". It matches the Rfam family "Bacterial small subunit ribosomal RNA", at positions 338 to 795 of the family's 1533-position model. The record is from RNAcentral.
CCUACGGGGUGCAGCAGUGAGGAAUAUUGGUCAAUGGGCGCGAGCCUGAACCAGCCAAGUCGCGUGAGGGAAGACGGUCCUAUGGAUUGUAAACCUCUUUUGUCGGGGAGCAAAAGACGCCACGUGUGGCGUUCCGAGAGUACCCGAAGAAAAAGCAUCGGAUCACUCCGUGCCAGCAGCCGCGGUAAUACGGAGGAUGCGAGCGUUAUCCGGAUUUAUUGGGUUUAAAGGGUGCGCAGGCGGAAGAUCAAGUCAGCGGUAAAAUUGAGAGGCUCAACCUCGUCGAGCCGUUGAAACUGGUUGUCUUGAGUGAGCGAGAAGUAUGCGGAAUGCGUGGUGUAGCGGUGAAAUGCAUAGAUAUCUCGCAGAACUCCGAUUGCGAAGGCAGCAUACCGGCGCUCAACUGACGCUCAUGCACGAAAGUGUGGGUAUCGAACAGGAUUAGAUACCCUAGUAGUC